This 253-nucleotide ribosomal RNA is filed under the name uncultured bacterium. RNAcentral's name for it is "partial 16S ribosomal RNA". It matches the Rfam family "Bacterial small subunit ribosomal RNA", at positions 524 to 776 of the family's 1533-position model. The record is from RNAcentral.
UACGGAGGGUGCAAGCGUUAUCCGGAUUUACUGGGUUUAAAGGGUGCGUAGGUGGGUCUGUAAGUCAGUGGUGAAAUACCCCAGCUCAACUGGGGGGGUGCUAUUGAUACUGCAUGGCUUGAGUACAGAUGAGGUAGGCGGAAUUGACGGUGUAGCGGUGAAAUGCAUAGAUAUGGUGAAGAACACCGAUAGCGAAGGCAGCUUACUAGGUUGUAACUGACGCUGAUGCACGAAAGUGUGGGGAUCAAACAGG